UAGAGAGAUGGAUCAAUGGAUGGAGGAGACAGGGAGCUGGAUGAGAGAGGUGGAGAGAUGGAUGAAUGGAUGAAAGAAAUAGGUGGAUGGAUGGAUGGAUGGAUGUUGCACUUCAGCCAGAGUUCACCUUGCCCUUAACACCAACCAGGAAGCCAAAAUUUGGACCUGAACCUGUUUGGCUGGAGAUGCUGUUUCUGCAGACAUUGGAGCUACACUGCUUUGGAUUCUUCGUGCUUCGACCUUGGACUUCGGCUGCCGACGCUUCUCUUCUUGCAACUCCCUCUGUUAACCAUUUGUGUACUGUGCCUUUUUGUUUUGCCUUAGAGCACUUCGUUUGACUUGUUGCCUUUUUCAUCCAGUUGAUCUGGAUUACAUUUCUGUUUACCCUUUUGAACCAGGUCUGGUUUGGGUUUUUGAGUUUUUGACCAGUGGAACUGCAUUUAAGUAUCCCUGCAUCCUUUUCCUUUUGUUUCAAUAAACUCUGUUUUGAAGACACUUUUAA
Long non-coding RNA from Anolis carolinensis (green anole), 502 nucleotides. RefSeq lists it as uncharacterized. The transcript is spliced from 2 exons. The record is from RefSeq and is a predicted model, not a curated record. NCBI's taxonomy places the organism in Eukaryota, Metazoa, Chordata, Lepidosauria, Squamata, Anolidae.